Selenihalanaerobacter shriftii is the source of this 138-nucleotide non-coding RNA. The record is from Rfam. NCBI's taxonomy places the organism in Bacteria, Bacillati, Bacillota, Clostridia, Halanaerobiales, Halobacteroidaceae.
CGAUAGGUGAAAGUCCUAUCAGAGCAAAAGUCAAAACUCUGUAGUUGAAUGGCAAUAUAAUUGGGAAACCAGUUAUAUUGAAGUCCAUUAAUUAAGAUAUUUAUAAGGCAUCGAUUAAGCAUGCAGACUGUAACACCA